GUAUAUAUAGCUCAGUUGGUAGAGUGCUUGCUCCACAUGCACAAGGCCCUGGGUUCCAUCCCCAGCACACACA
Molecule: transfer RNA, 73 nt
Filed under: Ictidomys tridecemlineatus (thirteen-lined ground squirrel)
Lineage: Eukaryota; Metazoa; Chordata; Mammalia; Rodentia; Sciuridae
Description: Spermophilus tridecemlineatus (thirteen-lined ground squirrel) tRNA
Rfam family: tRNA
About the family: Transfer RNA (tRNA) molecules are approximately 80 nucleotides in length.
Source: Rfam by way of RNAcentral